AAAGACUGCCGUAAGAACUCAUGAAGGACAAACCGAAAGUUUUCCCAUAACUGUAGGAUUACAUCAAGGCUCAUCCUUAAGUCCUUACCUUUUUGCGUUGGUAAUGGAUGAGUUAACAGGACAUAUUCAAGGUGAUAUUCCUUGGUGUAUGCUUUUCGCAGACGAUAUAGUGUUGAUAGAUGAAACUCAGGAAGGGGUAAAUGCAAAGCUUAACCUUUGGAGAGAAGUGUUGGAAUCUAAAGGUCUUCGCCUAAGCCGAUCAAAGACAGAAUAUGUGGAGUGCAAGUUCAGUGCAAAUGGAGGCCAAAACGAGUUAGGGGUGAGGAUCGGAGAUCAAGAAAUACCAAAGAGCGACCGUUUUCGUUACCUAGGAUCUAUCUUGCAAAAGAACGGAGAAUUAGAUGGAAAUCUCAACCAUAGAAUACAAGCUGGAUGGAUGAAGUGGAAGAGUGCAUCCGGCGUAUUGUGUGACCGCCGUAUGCCACUGAAGCUCAAGGGAAAAUUUUAUAGGACGGCAAUAAGGCCGGCGAUGCUGUAUGGCACAGAAUGUUGGGCGGUGAAGCAUCAACACGUACACAAAAUGGGUGUAGCGGAGAUGAGGAUGCUUCGUUGGAUGUGUGGGCACACGAGAAAGGAUAAGAUUAGGAAUGAGGAUAUCCGGGGUAAAGUAGGAGUAGCCGAAAUUGAAUGAAAGAUGAGAGAAAAUCGGUUACGGUGGUUUGGACAUGUGCAAAGAAGGCCUACUGACGCUCCGAUUAGAAGAUGCGACUAUGGGACAGAGGUUCAGGGCCGAAGGGGCAGAGGAAGACCUAGGAAAACUUUGGAAGAGACCCUAAGAAAAGACUUAGAGUACUUGGAUCUAACGGAGGACAUGACACAGGACAGAACACAAUGGCGUUCUAAGAUUCAUAUAGCCGAUCCCACUCAGUGACUUGGAUUUUCCAAGUCUCCAACCGAGAAGUUUUCCUCACUCGGGAAAUUAAGGGAACACUACCUCAACCUAUAUGCUCCACUCACAAAGCUUCAACAUACAAGCUUCAACAAAAGAAAAUUCAAAGAACUUAGCGAAGAAGGCUUUGGUGUAUUUAACACAAUACGUUGAAAUGAAGGAAAGCUUAUUUAUUGAUAUCCCCGAUAAGUUACAAAUAUGUACAUAUACUUGAGUCAAAAUAAACAAACAAGAGGGAGCCUUCACAAAGGUUGCUUAGGAGAAGUCUCAGCAGUCGAUAGAGCCCCAGAAAAGAGAAGGCACCGGAGGGGGAUCAUUCGGAGCCUCAGUAUUGGACAAAACCCUAGAAGGAGGAGGCAUCAGAGAUUGAUCAUUUGGAGCUUCAUUACGCGGUACAGCCCCAGAAGACGAAGGCAAUAAAUGCCUUUGGAACAAACCCACAAAUCUCUGAUGAUCAAGUAAAACCUGACCAUCAGAUUCCUUCAUCUGGUCAAGCUUCCCCUUCAUAUGUUUGUAGCAUAGUCAUGUGCGAGCCGGUGCAACUGUUUAUUCUCAUGCUUGAGCCCUCUAAUCUCCUGUUUGAGACUCAUCACUUCAGCCGCCAAUGAUUCAACUUGGCGGGUUCGAGCAAAUAGGCGUUGGGCCAUAUUAGACACAGAACCUGCACACUGAACACUGAGAGCCAGAGAAUCCUUAACAGACAACUCAUCAGACCGUUUGGAAAGUAGUCUGUUAUCUUUGGGAGUGAGAAGGUUCCUGGCCACUACCGCAGCGGUCAUAUCAUUCUUCAUCACGGAAUCCCCAACGGUAAGAGGACCAGUAGGGGAGACGAAGGAUGGGCGCCAUAUGUUGUCUGGAGAAGGCGGGGCUGCCUCUUCAACAAGGUUCAAGUCAAAACGACGGUCGGAGGGGCCAGACAUUUUCAAAGGUGUUGAAGAGAUAAGAGGUCGGACAAAUCAAGAUCUUAGAAGUGCAAGAAUGGAGCUUCUACUGGUGGAUAUUCAAGUGUGCUUUGGAACUUAAUGUCAGCCCCUAUAAAAAUCUGCACUCGAUGAAGCUUCAGAAAUCGAAGAGGCGCCUGCUCAGAAAUCGAAGAGGCGUUUGCUUUCUCAAAAGCUGGGCUGCUCAGAGAUUCUCAAAAGCUGGGCUGCUCAAAGACCACAAAGGCCGAUCUCAGAAAUCGAAGAGGCACCUACUUUUCCAGCCUUGUCAGCACCUGUCACACGCACACUCAGCUUUGCGGAAAUUAUAGGCAUUCUGUCGAAGAUUUCUGGCGAAGUAGAAAGCACAUGAAUCGUACUGUUCAAUCACCCACUUCCCACACGCAACAGUAGCUCAUGGGUACCACAGAUAACUUUGCCAAAGUUCUCUGACAAAGUUGAGACACGUGAAGCUUGCAGCUCCCACUACACCGCUCUGACCAAGGGUAAAAGAAUUGCAAAGAAACAACACUAACAAAGUUUAGACACAUAAAUUUUGAAGGUCUAGCUACCAUAUUAUUACCCACAAGGGUAAAAGAACAGUACCACUGCUGGAUAAUUGGAAAGUCCCGGUGUGUCAACCUCUGUGCUUCGUGGCAAGGUAGACUAGCAAACAUGCCCAACCUUUACUCACAUUCGAGAAAACACUCCUAACAAGAUUGCUUGCUCCAAAAUCGAAGAGGCACCGCCCUCCGAAUCUCGAGAGCCAGACUCCCAACAUGAUUACUUUCUCAAAAAUCGAAGAGAGGGUAAAGGAACAGUACCACUGCUGGAUAAUUGGAAAGUCCCUGUGUGUCAACCUCUGUGCUUCGUGGCAAGGUAGACUAGCAAACAUGCCCAACCUUUACUCUCAUUCGAGAAAACACUCCCAACAAGAUUGCUUGCUCCAAAAUCGAAGAGGCACCGUCCUCCGAAUCUCGAGAGACAGACUCCCAAACAUGAUUACUUUCUCAAAAAUCGAAGAGACACCGCUCUCCGAAUCUCGAGAGCCAGACCCCCAGCAGGAUUGCUUUCUCAAAAAUCGAAGAGGCAUCGUUUUCCGAAUCUCGAGAGCCAGACCCCCGACAGGUCUGUAAUCUUCACACGCAACAUCAGCUUUCCAGAUACCACAAACCACUUUUUCAAAGUGCUCUGACAGAGUUAAAACAUGUGAAGCUGGCAGCUCCCACUACCGUGCUAUAACCAAGCAGGGUAAAGGAAUAGCAUUAUUACUUGAUGUUAGGGAGACUCCUAUAUAUGUCGACUUCCAUCCCUAACGGACAGGCAGACCUGCAAAAAUGCUCAACCCUUUCUCUUAUCUGAGAGGGCACUCCCAACAAAGCCUUUCGAAAUAUUCAGUUUUUUUUCCCCCCGAUAAUACCUCUGUAAACAAGCUAUACUAGAGCAAGAAUAUCUCAUAUCAUCAGGGUUAAAAGCAAGAGUAUCCCAUAUCAUGCUUUUUCCCUGUCUUUUCCUUUGGCCUUGUUCUUACCUGCAAGACAAGGAGAAAGAGAGCAAUCAGUCAGCACUUGGAAUCAAGCUUCCAGCCAGGAACUGACUGCCUGGAACCCCUUACCUGAUUACUUACCUGGCAUUGCUCUCGAGUACUCAUCUGCAACAUCUUAUGCUUCCAGGGAAGAUACUGCAUCUGCCUGAGGAACAGAUAAGGCAAGUGAGAAGGAUACAAGGAAGCAUGUGGAGACAAGCGUAACAGCACACGUGCCGAUACAUCCACUACUCUAUCAAAAGCAAAAGUAUCCCAUAUCAGCAGGGUCGAACGUACUCUAGAUUUGAUGGACUUGUUUUGACCCUCAAAUUCUUCAGUCGGCCUUAUACUCUGGAGGAAACCAGAAAACCCUCCAGCCCAGUUCAAGAAUAAGCCUGUGGAAAGUUACUUCUUCAAAAGCAAAAGUAUCCCAUAUCAUCUCUCCUCAUUUUUCUUCUCUUUAUCCUUCAUGCUGCCUGCAAGAUAGGGAGAAUGUGAACAAUCAGCCGGAGCUCUGAUUGCUUACCUUGUCUGUCACCUCGUUUAGCAGAUCCCCCAGCUCGGCGACUUGGGGGACUCCUAUUACAUGGUUUGUAUCUCGAUUGACCAAGCAUGAAACUACAAGUAAGCUUCAAGUGAAAUCGAUACAUUACCUUGUGCAUCUCCACCAGUUACAGAUACCACCCCUGGAUGGAGGAAGAGUACUUCCAGAGAAGAUGCCACAUCUACCUAUGAGACAGAUAAGGCAAGUCAAGACGAUACCACACUCCGGUACUUAGAAGUUUCGUGGCUACGAGAUCAUUCUCCCAUAAUUUUUCCUAAUGUCAUUUGUAUUAAAUCAUUCACUUGUACUCACUAAAGGAGAGCUUGAACCUAUGUACUUGUGUAAACCCUUCACAAUUAAUGAGAACUCCUCUAUUCCGUGGACGUAGCCAAUCUGGGUGAACCACGUACAUCUUGUGUUUGCUUUCCUAUCUCUAUCAAUUUAUAUACUUAUCCACACUAAUGACCGGAGCAAUCUAGCGAAGAUCACAAAAAGUGACCGUUUUCGCUACCUAGGAUCUAUCUUGCAAGAGAACGGAGAAUUAGAUGGAGAUCUCAACCAUAGAAUGCAAGCUGGAUGGAUGAAGUGUAAGAGUGCAUCCGGCGUGUUGUGUGACCGUCGUAGGCCACUGAAGCUCAAGGG
This 4580-nucleotide long non-coding RNA is filed under the name Malus domestica (apple). Its description in RNAcentral is "long non-coding RNA (MDOM_LNC012364)". The record is from RNAcentral. Lineage: Eukaryota; Viridiplantae; Streptophyta; Magnoliopsida; Rosales; Rosaceae.